Molecule: long non-coding RNA, 890 nt
Filed under: Monodelphis domestica (gray short-tailed opossum)
Lineage: Eukaryota; Metazoa; Chordata; Mammalia; Didelphimorphia; Didelphidae
Description: lncRNA (ENSMODG00000046461.1)
Source: RNAcentral
CUAUUGAGCUUCUGUCAAUUAUUUCUCAGGUGUAUAGGACAUGAAACAGUACACAUCUGGUCCUAAAAUAUGAAUGUGAAGUGGAUAUUUUGUGAAAAAGGAAUGAUUUAUUGCAUCUAUGUGGCUUAUGAUCUGGAAAGCACAAAUAACUACUUUCCAAAAUAAAAGUGACAUGGGGUUCAACCAUUGAUACAAGGACACUCAUCUACUGUGACAAAGUUGUUACAAAAGAGACACUAUGGCUUCAAUGGGAGUUUUCCGUAAAAAUCAGCUCAGUCACCAGCUGGGAAAGGCCAAAAAGAAAAAAAGUACCAGAGGCUCCAGGUGGAAAUACUUACUACCUUAAAAAUAAUUAUUAUCACCUAAAUCCUGCCCUGGCAGGGCUAUAUCUGUGUGUUAAAGUGAAGCAGCAGCAUAUUUCCUUUGGUAGAGGUCAAGAAACUCAAGGAAAUGAAUAGCUGGUCCUGACCUAGGGUUGCCUGUUAACUCAGCAGGAGGAAAAGUAAAAGCCUUUCUUGAAGGUAAAAAUAUAGCUUUAUUUUUAUCAUUCCUUGUUGUAAAUGGUUCAUAUAAGCUAUUUUGACAUCCUGACAUCUGACACACUGUCUUGCCUUGACUUUUAAUAAUCACAUAUGCUCUAACUCUAUAUUGCUUGACUUCUAAAUCUCAGUUCUUAGUCACUUAUUUCUGAGUAUUCUUUGUUUCUAGCCCACUUACGUGCUUGCUUCUUUCUUCACAAGAUUGCCUUUGUUCAUUUGAUCCUGUAUCUCUAUCCUUUUCCUGAAAAACAGUGGUUAUCAUCAUCAUUUCCUGUGGCUAUUCAAGUUUUCACAACCACUUCAUUGCCCAGAGAACUGUAGCAUCAUAGAAGCAUAGGUAUACAACUGGAU